UAGUGCAAAUAUUUUACACACAAUUUAUACAAUACUCGAUAUGUAUAUUUUUACUUGAUAUUUGUGCGGACAGGUGAGGUAAGCCCGGUCACCUCACCCCCCCUUUAUUAAUAGUGGGGGCAGGGCCGGGGUCGUAUUAGGGUAGAAAAUAUUUAAAGAAGAGGGCGGUGUUAUGGACCUCCCUGCCGAAGAUGCGAGGUCAACCAACUCGGAGCCACACUUUCACUGAAACAAGGGGAAGGCUCUUAGAGUCCCUCCGGGGACUAGAGGCAGCAGUAGAGAAUCUUGUGCAAUAUACAAACAAGUAUGACACAGAGGUCAUCUAGAUUUUUAGGCCUGUCAAAUUAAGUGCCAGCAGACGCGGUGAGACUUAGGGGCCUAGGCUUUAUUAGAAAAGAGGCGUAAAGGGUGUGUAGGCCUUUUCAUUAUUAAGACCUAAAAUCUUAAACUUAACUUAAAAUAGAAGUUAAUUGGAAUUUUACUGUAGCGGUAGAAUGUGAAGAAAGAGACAAGAACACCUAAAGCGAAAGCAAUUAACUAGCAGAGGGAGUCAAAUAGGCUGAAACACGAGGGUCUGGGCAACAAACAGGAUUAGAGACCCUGGUAGUCCACACUGUAAACGAUGGGGAACAAUUGCUAUUUUAUGCAGCCCCAAUAGGCAGCAAAUCCCCCGCCUGAGUAGUACGAUCGCAAGAUUAAAAUUCAAAAAAUUUGGCUGUUCUCCGAUAUGAUUAGAGGAGCGUGUAGUUUAAUUCGAUAAUCCGCGAGAUACCUUACCCUAACUUGAAUCACCACAGCCCUCCAAAUUAAUUACAGGCAUUGUACCUAUUUUUAAUAUGGCUACAACCUCUUUUUGGAUGGGUAGUGUGACCAACCGGUGUUGCAUGGCCGUCGUCAGUCCGUGUAUUAAUCACAAAACGGACAUAAGCCAUAAUUGUUUUAUAUUUAACAAUUAUGGAUGAAGUCAGGUCUUAUGGCCCUUAUGUUAGGGGAUUAGAAUGCGCUACAAUCACCUGCUCAAUGGUCUACUAUAUACUUUUAGUGAAUACCUACAAAGCGCGGUGGGCGGAUGGCGAUUGGGAUAGUCGCCUGAAGUUGAAUUUAAUAGUAAUCGGGAAGUAGAGCGUCCCGGUGAAACCACUUAACACGGAGUUAGCACAAAUCGCCCGUCACCUUAUCUAAGUUCCUAGGCACGGACACUGCCCAAUGGUUAAAGAAAUGGGUGGAUACUGGCUUAUAGCAAAGAUAAGCAAGUCGUAACAUAGUGAGAGGAGGGGAACCUCUUCUUG
Molecule: ribosomal RNA, 1289 nt
Filed under: Nanozoanthus harenaceus
Lineage: Eukaryota; Metazoa; Cnidaria; Anthozoa; Zoantharia; Nanozoanthidae
Description: small subunit ribosomal RNA
Rfam family: Bacterial small subunit ribosomal RNA
Source: RNAcentral